Molecule: long non-coding RNA, 799 nt
Organism: Aquila chrysaetos chrysaetos
Lineage: Eukaryota; Metazoa; Chordata; Aves; Accipitriformes; Accipitridae
Exons: 3
Source: RefSeq, a predicted model, not a curated record
GACAGGAAACAUUCCUACUUCUUCUGGCCAAGAAAUUAUUUUUCCAGCUACUUGUCUUUUUGGCAGUGACUGUAGCGCUGGGUUGGUGGGUCGCACUAGGUGUCAGUUGUGCUAUGGGAACGCUGUGUGUUCGAGUUACUUCAUGCUGGGGGGGUCAGCAAUAAGUUUUCUCCAUGCUACUGUUAAGGAAAAAUACUCUAAUUUGAGCACUAUUUAAAGGAGCUCUCAUUCAAAUGCGUAAUUUUACCCAGGGAAGAGAUGACUGAAGAACUGAUUUUCUGGUCUUACCUAGUCACUUUGGCUGCAGUAAUCACUAUGUCUAAGAUGAACUUCUGAGGAUGUCUAUUAAAACGAUGAUUUGUAAUUCAGCUCUGGAAUUAUUGAAGCUUUAGGGAACUGAAAGGCAAGAUUUUUAUUAAGUGAAUCCACCCAUUUCUAAUUCCACCAUUCUCAAGAAUAAAAGUAGUUAUAUUUAAGCACCAGAGAAUAAAAAUAGUUAAAUUUAAGCACCAGAGGAAAAUACCAUUAAUAAUUGAAAUAGUUGUUGCUUAGAAGUGAAAAAAUAGAAGUAAACACUUUGUCAGCAGAAUGCAGUUUCUAGACUGCAGGAGGUGAAAUGUAGAACACAGCUCUUGGUGUUCCUCUUCAGCACUAAAAAAACCCACAUUUGAAGGUCUGCAAGAAGAUGGGUAUUUCAUGAAAUACACGGUAUGAGAAGAAGCAUUACUGAGAAAAAAAACCCAACAUGUCCACAUCAGCUGGCUGCCACCUGACGUGACAUUUCUUCUCAUCCUCUGCC